AAAGCGAUUCAGCGGGUUACGAUUGACGGAGCGAAGCGACGUCAAAGCGUAUACAAAGUCGAGUCGGUUUAAGGAUACGUUCGUUGGGUAGGGGAGCGUUCUGUAAGCCUGUGAAGGUGGCCUGUGAGGGUUGCUGGAGGUAUCAGAAGUGCGAAUGCUGACAUAAGUAACGAUAAAGCGGGUGAAAAGCCCGCUCGCCGGAAGACCAAGGGUUCCUGUCCAACGUUAAUCGGGGCAGGGUGAGUCGACCCCUAAGGCGAGGCCGAAAGGCGUAGUCGAUGGGAAACGGGUUAAUAUUCCCGUACUUGGUGUUACUGCGAAGGGGGGACGGAGAAGGCUAUGUUGGCCGGGCGACGGUUGUCCCGGUUUAAGCGUGUAGGUGUGUGUUCCAGGUAAAUCCGGUUCACUUUAACACUGAGGCGUGAUGACGAGGCACUACGGUGCUGAAGCAACAAAUGCCCUGCUUCCAGGAAAAGCCUCUAAGCAUCAGGUAACAUCAAAUCGUACCCCAAACCGACACAGGUGGUCAGGUAGAGAAUACCAAGGCGCUUGAGAGAACUCGGGUGAAGGAACUAGGCAAAAUGGUGCCGUAACUUCGGGAGAAGGCACGCUGACAC
This 617-nucleotide ribosomal RNA is filed under the name Salmonella enterica subsp. enterica. RNAcentral describes it as "partial 23S ribosomal RNA". It matches the Rfam family "Bacterial large subunit ribosomal RNA", at positions 1164 to 1757 of the family's 2925-position model. The record is from RNAcentral. Lineage: Bacteria; Pseudomonadati; Pseudomonadota; Gammaproteobacteria; Enterobacterales; Enterobacteriaceae.